GCGGAAGUAGCUCAAUCGGUAGAGCGUAAGCUUGCCAAGUUUAAAGUCGAGGGUUCAAAUCCCUUCUUUCGCU
RNAcentral lists this transfer RNA (73 nucleotides) under Sargassum hemiphyllum. RNAcentral's name for it is "tRNA-Gly". It matches the Rfam family "tRNA". From Rfam's summary of the family: Transfer RNA (tRNA) molecules are approximately 80 nucleotides in length. RNAcentral also lists the same sequence under 2 other names. The record is from RNAcentral. Lineage: Eukaryota; Phaeophyceae; Fucales; Sargassaceae.